UAAUACGUAGGGGGCAAGCGUUGUCCGGAUUUAUUGGGCGUAAAGAGCGUGUAGGCGGUUUUACAGGUCCGCUGUGAAAACUCGAGGCUCAACCUCGAGCUGUCGGUGGAAACCGUAAGGCUAGAGUCCGGAAGAGGAGAGUGGAAUUCCUGGUGUAGCGGUGAAAUGCGCAGAUAUCAGGAAGAACACCCGUGGCGAAGGCGGCUCUCUGGGACGGUACUGACGCUGAGACGCGAAAGCGUGGGGAGCGAACAGGAUUAGAUACCCUGGUAGUCCACGCCGUAAACGAUGGGUGCUAGGUGUGGGGGGUGUCGACUCCCCCCGUGCCGAAGCUAACGCAUUAAGCACCCCGCCUGGGGAGUACGGCCGCAAGGCUA
This 377-nucleotide ribosomal RNA is filed under the name uncultured bacterium. RNAcentral's name for it is "bacterial SSU rRNA". It matches the Rfam family "Bacterial small subunit ribosomal RNA", at positions 521 to 896 of the family's 1533-position model. The record is from RNAcentral.